Molecule: ribosomal RNA, 375 nt
Filed under: uncultured bacterium
Lineage: Bacteria
Description: bacterial SSU rRNA
Rfam family: Bacterial small subunit ribosomal RNA
Source: RNAcentral
AUACGAAGGGGGCUAGCGUUGCUCGGAAUUACUGGGCGUAAAGGGCGCGUAGGCGGAUCGUUAAGUCAGGGGUGAAAUCCCGGGGCUCAACCUCGGAACUGCCCUUGAUACUGGCGAUCUUGAGUAUGAGAGAGGUAUGUGGAACUCCGAGUGUAGAGGUGAAAUUCGUAGAUAUUCGGAAGAACACCAGUGGCGAAGGCGACAUACUGGCUCAUUACUGACGCUGAGGCGCGAAAGCGUGGGGAGCAAACAGGAUUAGAUACCCUGGUAGUCCACGCCGUAAACGAUGAUUGCUAGUUGUCGGGCUGCAUGCAGUUCGGUGACGCAGCUAACGCAUUAAGCAAUCCGCCUGGGGAGUACGGUCGCAAGAUUAAA